This is a long non-coding RNA of Lathyrus oleraceus (garden pea), 726 nucleotides long. RefSeq lists it as uncharacterized. The record is from RefSeq and is a predicted model, not a curated record. The transcript is spliced from 2 exons. Lineage: Eukaryota; Viridiplantae; Streptophyta; Magnoliopsida; Fabales; Fabaceae.
GGUGUAGAUACCUAGAGGGUGCAGAUAGAAGGAUUUGGGUCUGGGAGCCCAAUGCAAGGCAAUGAAAGAAUCAACAAUUCCAAAACAACGCAUGCACAAUUGUCAAACACAUUUUCCACGUUUUCCACCCAGGUUAAAAUUUUCAAGUCAUCUCUCUUCCCUCCAACUGAAUGCAACUCUCCUCCACCGUGCCGGAGGUCGCCUCCGGCGGAGGCGGAGACCUAAUAUUCAAACAAAUCACACUACCCCUUCAUCUUCUUCAUUUGAACACGAAUCCCAUACCGAAAAUCCUUGAUUCCUUCUCAAAAAUUUGAAUCGAAGCGAUAUGCGCACAAACCCUAAAUCUUAAAAGAGAAAUUAAAUUCUUAACUCUCAGAAUGAAAGCCCUGGAGGUUAGGGGUUUGAUUCCCCUAAUAUUCUUUUACACCAUGGUAACCAACAUGUUGUGAAUAAUUAAAGAAAAAAAAGAAGCACUCGCCGAAGCCGAUGCCGGAAAUCAGGAUGAACAAAUGUAAGGAUGGUUGGUCUUGAAGAAAUAAGGGACUUAGGUUUUAGGUAUGUUGAAAUGGAGAGUUGACUUUGCUCAAUUGGUUGACCAAAAGGUCAACAAUUGACCAAAAGCCAACGUAUGCAAAAAGUGUAUUUCUUUGUAAUUUUCAAUGGAACAUGUAUGGAUAAUGUAAUCUAAUGGCCUUUAUGAAUGGAAUAAAUUUUCUUUGGCAAAAA